This is a long non-coding RNA of Priapulus caudatus, 390 nucleotides long. RefSeq lists it as uncharacterized. NCBI's taxonomy places the organism in Eukaryota, Metazoa, Priapulida, Priapulimorpha, Priapulimorphida, Priapulidae. The transcript has 3 exons. The record is from RefSeq and is a predicted model, not a curated record.
GAGAACGACUUCACGCCCGCGUUCUCACAGACGUUCUACGUCGUCUACGUGACGGAGGCGUCACCUGUCGGCACGCUGGUGACGCGCGUCUCCGCAGACGACGCGGACAGGACGGAGCAUAACAGCAGGGUGGAGUAUAGGAUCACAGGUUACGGCCACGCCCCUGACUACUUCUACAUGCUCAGCGAUGGCGCCAUCGUCACCAAGGACUCGCUGCUCAAUGACAGAAGUGCUGGCACGUACACUGUUGGCGUCGAAGCCUUCAACCCGAGUCAGCCCGACCGCAGUGGCGCCACCAACGUAACCGUGGUGAUCCAGAGAAACACGUCCGUGCCUACAGCGCCACCUACGUCAGAGAAGGGCUUCGAUUUUGGUUUCGGUCGCGACCUC